This 377-nucleotide ribosomal RNA is filed under the name uncultured eukaryote. RNAcentral's name for it is "partial 18S ribosomal RNA". It matches the Rfam family "Eukaryotic small subunit ribosomal RNA", at positions 592 to 976 of the family's 1831-position model. The record is from RNAcentral.
CAAUAGCGUAUAUUUAAGUUGUUGCAGUUAAAAAGCUCGUAGUUGGAUUUCGGGUGGGAAUGGCCGGUCCGCCGUUUCGGUGUGCACUUGCUACGCCCACCUUGCUGCCGGGGACGUGCUCUUGAGUUCACGCUCGGGACACGGAGUCGGCGAGGUUACUUUGAGUAAAUUAGAGUGUUCAAAGCAGGCCUACGCUCUGAAUACAUUAGCAUGGAAUAACACGAUAGGACUCUGGCCUAUCUUGUUGGUCUGUAGGACCGGAGUAAUGAUUAAGAGGGACAGUCGGGGGCAUUCGUAUCUCAUUGUCAGAGGUGAAAUUCUUGGAUUUAUGAAAGACGAACUACUGCGAAAGCAUUUGCCAAGGAUGUUUUCAUUAA